GCGUCAGUAGUGCAGUGGGUUAAGGCACACGCUUUUGGGAUAGUGUGAGACCGGGUUCGAGUCCCGCCUGACACG
Molecule: non-coding RNA, 75 nt
Organism: Parelaphostrongylus tenuis
Lineage: Eukaryota; Metazoa; Nematoda; Chromadorea; Rhabditida; Metastrongylidae
Source: the annotation of a GenBank genome assembly